UGUUUAGGCCAUUUACAGUGUCUAGGCCAUUUGCAUUGAAGCCAGCAAGAAAAAGGUUGCACAAAAAGAGGCCUUUCACCUGCUAAAAGAGGUGGCAAAGUGGCCACAGUUUCUACUUCAUCGAAAGCGGCAUUGCAGAAAGCAGUAGAUAAUGUUGCCAACAGAAUUAAACUUGAUUUGGGUCUAAUCUUGUUAUUUGAUUUUUGGGCUUU
This 212-nucleotide long non-coding RNA is filed under the name Lathyrus oleraceus (garden pea). Its description in RNAcentral is "Pisum sativum (pea) long non-coding RNA (PSAT_LNC028589)". Lineage: Eukaryota; Viridiplantae; Streptophyta; Magnoliopsida; Fabales; Fabaceae. The record is from RNAcentral.